UUUAUGGUUUUGAUCAAACCAAUUUCCUCCCGCACGGGUCUUUUACAGUACUUUUGGGUUUUUCUGGGUUAAUGCAUCUUCCACGGUUCGUGCAACUUUGUUGAGUUUUGUCAGUUGCCUUGGAUCUUCUCUCCCUAGCUUUCAUAUAUGCUUUUGGAUGGGUCUAUGAGAUUGAGACCUGAUUUUCAAAAUCAAAUUCUGGACUAAUGGGGUUUGGAUUGAUCGCCGUCGUGGUUGAAGGGGAAUAUUGAUAAGUGGAACCGGGUGAUUUAUCCCAAUGUGAAUAAUGGGGUUUACAGGUUCAUUUGUUUUGUUGCAAGGAUGAAGAGACUUUGCUGCUAAACAUCUGGGCUUCAAAAGUUUCUCAGUUGAAAAAAAGGUCAAGAAAUUCCUAAUCAUAUCGUGCCAAACAAUAUGGCAUCAAUUUAAUUGUCUCAUGUUCUGCUGGGGACUUCACUUUUCUUAUUGGAGAUUGGUACAAGACGAAUCACUUGAUAUUGAAGGCUAUAUUAGAUGGCUGUCAUAGGCUUCCUUCCCCUCCUGAUUAACAGUGGCGGCAGCGGUGCAUUUUUCACUUUUGAACAAGUUAUGUGCCUUGCCUGCUACUUUCGUUUUCUAAUUAACAAUUACACAACAUGAUGCAGAUUAAUAGCAACAAGACUUCAAUUUCAAGUAAAUUGGAAGACAUGACCACCAAAGAUGUUGGCGCGAGCUUUGAUUUGCUACGGUGAGUUGGCGUGGGAACCUAUAAUGUAACUUUCUAUUGCCAUUGAUUCUUAUGACUGUGAAAUCAAUUUCCUAUAUAUAUACUCUUUCUUUGCUAUUGAUUCGUGCAUAUAAUUGAAAGAAAAAGCAGCAUAGGAGAGACAACAGACUCGGCGAGAGCCUCCUUGAAGACCAAAAUUUGAGAUAACGAGUGAGAUUGGGGACUUUUAGCGAGUGAUGCUAAGUUAUGUUUGUAGUUAUUCACUCCUGCUCCUGUCACAAAUUACUGAGCUGAGGCAGAGUUUUAUUUUUUUUUCAUUUUAUAUCUCCACAAGGACUCGCUGGUGAUAGACAGGUUAUGAUAAGACCUUGCGAGUUUUGUCAAUUGAGUCUUGCCUUCAUUUCCUGUUAUGAUUCUGUUUAGGUGAAUUAGGGACUCUUUAGAUGAUUAACCAUUUUAGCUGUAUUGAUCAUGAUACAUAAGUUGUUAGUUUGAGGAAAAGAUAGAUCAUGACAAUACAAAGGCAUUCACUCAUGUAAUACUCUAUUGAAUGUUAAUAAGAAGAGUUCCUUUCCGCUUCAAA
Molecule: long non-coding RNA, 1289 nt
Organism: Tripterygium wilfordii
Lineage: Eukaryota; Viridiplantae; Streptophyta; Magnoliopsida; Celastrales; Celastraceae
Exons: 4
Source: RefSeq, a predicted model, not a curated record